AGAAGUUUAGGAUAUAAUAGUCCAAGAGCCUUCAAAGCCCUAAGAAAACUAUCAAAGUUUAACUUCUG
Molecule: transfer RNA, 68 nt
Filed under: Melomys burtoni (grassland melomys)
Lineage: Eukaryota; Metazoa; Chordata; Mammalia; Rodentia; Muridae
Description: tRNA-Trp
Source: RNAcentral